This 1036-nucleotide small RNA is filed under the name Pan troglodytes (chimpanzee). Its description in RNAcentral is "retained intron". The record is from RNAcentral. Lineage: Eukaryota; Metazoa; Chordata; Mammalia; Primates; Hominidae.
CCCCCGCCUUUCUUCCCUCCGCGACCCGGGCCGUGCGUCCGUCCCCCUGCCUCUGCCUGGCGGUCCCUCCUCCCCUCUCCUUGCACCCGUACCUCUUUGUACCGCACCCCCUGGGGACCCCUGCGCCCCUCCCCUCCCCCCUGACCGCAUGGACCGUCCCGCAGGCCGCUGAUGCCGCCCGCGGCGAGGUGGCCCGGACCGCAGUGCCCCAAGAGAGCUCUAAUGGUACCAAGUGACAGAUUGGCUUUACUGUGACUCGGGGACGCCAGAGCUCCUGAGAAGAUGUCAGCAAUACAGGUACCACAGGGGUGAGGGUCUGGCACAUGCAAGCAUUCCCACCAGCCCCAGCGGGGUGCUUAGCAGAGGAGAGAGGAUGCAGCUCAGAUCAACCCACUCCCCUGUUUCCCAGCACUCAGUCAGGUACAGGCCUGGGGAAGUGGGGGAGUCUCAACAGGAAGGGACCCAGGGCUCGUUCUCCGGGCAGAGCACCUCACCCAGGCUCACAGAGGCCAGCUCAGAGGCUGUGACCACGAGGGUGCGCCAGCAGGUGGCUGGAGGGGGCCCAGGCUGCACCCGCCCACGUGUCACCUGCCUUGCAGGCCGCCUGGCCAUCCGGUACAGAAUGUAUUGCCAAGUACAACUUCCACGGCACUGCCGAGCAGGACCUGCCCUUCUGCAAAGGAGACGUGCUCACCAUUGUGGCCGUCACCAAGGUAAUCAGGUGACGCCCACCCCACCAUCCCACUGCUGGGCCUUCCCUCUGCAGGGGGAGGUGGGCCUGAGAGCAUGUCUGGGCUGCCCUCUCCCCAGGACCCCAACUGGUACAAAGCCAAAAACAAGGUGGGCCGUGAGGGCAUCAUCCCAGCCAACUACGUCCAGAAGCGGGAGGGCGUGAAGGCGGGUACCAAACUCAGCCUCAUGCCGUGAGUACCACGAGGAGGGGUUGGGGAGGGAAGGGGCCUUGGUCCUCCUGAAGGAGCAUCAGGAACAAGCAGGGAGGCCAGAGUGAGGGGCUUGGGUGUUGGGGAGGGCCUCA